This 622-nucleotide ribosomal RNA is filed under the name uncultured fungus. Its description in RNAcentral is "eukaryotic LSU rRNA". The stretch from base 255 to 408 matches the Rfam family "5.8S ribosomal RNA". Lineage: Eukaryota; Fungi. The record is from RNAcentral.
CUUGGUCAUUUAGAGGAAGUAAAAGUCGUAACAAGGUUUCCGUAGGUGAACCUGCGGAAGGAUCAAUAUCGUGGGGCUCCGGCCCCGUCGAGAAAGCAACCCUUGCCCUUUUGAGUACCUUGGAAUAGACCCUCCCCCGGAUCCCCGGGGCGUGGGGUGACCAUGCCCAUUUUCCUCGGCCGGGUCCCCGGCCAAUGGGGAGCAAAAAACACCCUGUCACGCUGUAACCGUCUGAUAAAACAAACAAAAAUCAAAACUUUCAACAACGGAUCUCUUGGUUCUGGCAUCGAUGAAGAACGCAGCGAAAUGCGAUAAGUAGUGUGAAUUGCAGAAUUCAGCGAAUCAUCGAAUCUUUGAACGCACAUUGCGCCCUUUGGUAUUCCUUAGGGCAUGCCUGUUCGAGCGUCAUCUAACCCCCUCAAGCACUGCUUGGUGUUGGGUGCCUGUCCCGCCCCCGCGCGUGGACUCACCUCAAAUCCAUUGGCGGCCCCACGUCGGCUCCAGCGCAGCAGAAACGCGCUCGUGGGCCCGGCGGGGUGGCUCCCAGAAGCUACAUCCACCAUUUUGACCUCGGAUCAGGUAGGGAUACCCGCUGAACUUAAGCAUAUCAAUAAGCGGAGGA